This is a long non-coding RNA of Arachis duranensis, 1636 nucleotides long. RefSeq lists it as uncharacterized. The record is from RefSeq and is a predicted model, not a curated record. NCBI's taxonomy places the organism in Eukaryota, Viridiplantae, Streptophyta, Magnoliopsida, Fabales, Fabaceae. The transcript is spliced from 3 exons.
UUCUUUUUGUUGAAACUGGGGGAGUUGUCUUAUUCUUAUCUGUAAUUAUUUGCUCUGUUCCUUUUGGGCAAUCUUAGUCUUUUAUUUGAAUUUAGCUAAUGUUAAUUUCAGGAGGAAUGGCAAAGAGCAACUUCAAACAAGAGCAUGAUCUUGAGAAGAGAAGAGCAGAGGCCGCAAGGAUUAGGGAGAAAUACCCAGACAGGAUCCCGGUUUUAAUAUAGGCCGAAAAUAAAAAGGAAAAUUGCAAGCCCAAGUGUUUCAUGAAUAUAUUCAGCAUUGAUGCAAAAAUAUUUUGUUUGUUAUGGCUGAAUUAUUGUUCUUAUUAUUGGGCCAGAAUUCAAACUAUCAUAAGUCCAAUUCAUCUUGCAUGCUUGGUCCGAAAUCCUAAGGCUAUGGGGCACAACAUUGUUUUAUUAAAAGAAACCCAUUCCUUUGAUUAUGUGUUGCAUGCUCCAACGGAUAUCAUUCUUUUGGAAUCCAAAUUUUAUUAAUUGGAGUUAUUGCAGUACAUGGGAACUAUGAGAGAGAAAGUGUGAUUGACAUGAUGGUAAUCAUAAUGCUACACGCCACUCUAAGGGAAGCAAAAGCAAGCUAUUGUAAAUUAAUUAGUUUAACCACUUUGAAAUUGCUUUUUCUUCAGACUCUCUUUUCUCUCUCAUCUCUUUCUUCUUCUCUCUUCGGUCAUUAACCAGGAAGCCAUGGAAGCUACUUGGAGCUACCGAAAGGAAGGGAAAGCAAGCAUAAAGACCAUCGAGUUGAUGGCACGAAAAAGAAAAGGAAAAGUAUGUUGUGGCUGAGAUCAUCACCAAAUGUGGUAAGAUUUGGUGAGGUAAUCUCGGAUCCUUCAUACUCAAAAAGAAGGAAGAAGAUUCGGCCAGCAAGGGAGAUUCUUGAAGCAUGGCUUGUCUCUGAUUCUGCUUAACCACCACAGGAAGUAGCUAGAGUGGCGAAGUGAUGGAAGAGGCAGAGAUUGGAGCAGAUAAAGCCAUCAUCAUCAUGAAGCAUCAAGGGCCAGAAAUCCAUCUUGGAGAGGAAGCCAAGGAUGGAGCGCUCGGAUUGAUGAAGAGUGAUGACCAAGGAAGGACUAGAGGUAAUUGCAUGUUGGGUUUUGCAUGGUUAUCUCUUCUCUCUCUGUGUGGCCGAACCGGAUAUGUUUCUUGAAGGAAAAGAAGUUAGGCUUGGGUGUUGGCUUCAAGUGUGGAGGCUUCCCUCUUCUAUAAAAAGAGAGAACAACCACGGGUUGAAGCAAGGAGAAAAUUUGAGAGUGCAAGGCACAGAGUUUUCAGAGCUACCUGAGCUAACAGAUUUCUCUUCUCCUUCAAUGUAUUCUGUUUAAUAUUUUUCUGUUUAAUUUUGUCAUGUCUUGAGUCUCAUGAAAAAAGGUAAAUAGUGAGGUUUGUAAGAAAAAGCCAUAGAGCGGAAAAAGGCAGAGAGUGCAAAAUUAAAAGAAAAAGCCAUAGAUGUCUUAGAGUUCCUUUGUACAUCUAUGUUGUGUUUCAUGAUUCUGUGGGAAUCCCCUUGUAAGUUGGGUUAGCACUUUACAAUUUGUAAUCUGGAUGAUUAUAGUGAAAUUCCAUCAUUGUUGUGAUGGAGACUGGAUGUAGGCUGCACUGCACUUAGCAGCUGAACCAGGAUA